Molecule: long non-coding RNA, 5129 nt
Organism: Cynoglossus semilaevis (tongue sole)
Lineage: Eukaryota; Metazoa; Chordata; Actinopteri; Pleuronectiformes; Cynoglossidae
Exons: 6
Source: RefSeq, a predicted model, not a curated record
UUGACAGCUGAAUUAUCCAAUAAGAGUCUGAUGUAUGUAAAUAUACAUUUAUCUUUUUACAAAAUGUUUUAUUAUAUUAAGCAAAAAAUGCUUUUUAAGAGUGUAUCAUACGGCAGACUUUCCUGCAGAUGCUAUAAAGCAUGGCCUUCAUAUAGGACUAUUGUUGAGAGGCAGUUAGCAGUAAACUACCUGCUGAUUGUCCUGCUGUGUGUGUAUGCAUCUCUGUGUGUCUGUGUGUGUGUUUUAAGAUUAGGAUGGGAGGAAGGUCACACGUGCUAAUAAUCACACAUGAUUGGAAUCAGCUGUUGGCACCGCUCUCUUGCUAUUGUGAGGAAAUAUUAGAGCUCUCGGAGCCCCAGGACGUUCAUCAUCUCAAAUUGUGAGCUUGUUUACCAUAUUUCUAAAGUUUGAAUUUUUCAGCAAAUAUAUCCGACAGUGUCUGACCACACUGCUCUAAAAUUAUAGGCACAGAAAUAAGUCCGGGAGAGAGCAUGCAGGUCUCAGAGGGGAUCAGUCAUUUCACAGCAUUGUACUUUCAGCAUAACUUGUUAUGAAUUUGAGUUGAUUUAUCACACGCACGUACAAUUCUGACUGGCUGUUUGUUCACUUGGAUGGAUUGCGGUAAACAGAACACCUUUUACGACAAUUCAGCAGUUUACUGGAAUACUUUGACAGUGGUCUACAGGAAAAUGGUACAAUCAUGCAGUACUUCAAAAAGCCCUGUUCAGUUUGUUUGUCACCUCUGUAGAUGGACAUGCUUCAUUAUCAAGACUUCUCUGUGUUCUCCUUCCCAUGGCAGAGCUUCGACCACAGUCACCCACCUCCCCUCUCCUCCCUCACGCAAACUCCCUCUAUGUAAAAAUCCCUCCUGGAGGGAGAAAAUGGUCCACAUCACUUUCACUUUGAUUUGAGAUGAACCAGACACUGCUCGCUGAGUGUUGUAUAAUGCGAAGAUGAUGUCUGGGUGGCUCUCUCUCAUGCACCGUAUCUAACCACUGGCUCCCUCCGGGGUUCUCUCUGAGAUGUUUUGCAACCACCAAUGAGAGACAACUGCCAAACAAGCCCAAGGAAAUCCGAAGCUGUGUACUAGAGUUGUUACACCACUCACUGCCAAAGACAUUAGCUCUGAUUAUACUUGCUGUGUUUUGUUGGGGUAAACUCACUCUUUGCGAAGCAAUUGUCAGAGCACAUCUCUGAGCUGCUCUGGGAACAGCUCAGGUUCACUAUGGUGGAGGCUGUUGGGCUUCUUGCAGCCCACCACCACUUGUUUUCCCAUUGGUAUGAUCUUCAAAAUACUAAAUAUGAAGUGCAUCAUGGUGGUCUCUCCAAGUAAACAUUUUUAGAUAAAACAAUUACAUCAUUAGUUCCAAAAAUGCAAUAUGCUAUACAUUAAGAUACAUUAUAAUACAAGUUGUCAUUACAUCAAUAACGCAUACAGAAUAUAAUUUAAAAAGAAACACAGUGGUGCUGUUUUUGUUUCUCUAUGAGACUUUUAGCAACAUGGAUGCAAUGUGGUCUGAUAAAGAUAAAGGGGGAUAAUUAAGAACACAGUGCCAAACUGGUAUUUGGGGGUUUAGGUAGAAGAUUAUUUAGUGUGGAAAUGGAUAGAAAUCAGUGCAGUCUUAACUGGGAUGUGACCUCAAAAACUAGUGUAUAAAAUAUAAAAUAAAACGGCAACAAAUAAUAAUAAUAUUAAUUGUGAAGUUAUCCUCAUAUAUUCAUUAAAUUAAAAGACGAUCAAAAUGUACAAGCUGUUAAAAAGACAUUAUGUAUUGGGUUGAUAUUUAAAAUAAAAAAAAAUAUUAAGCGUGUACUCGAGUCGUUUUAAUAUAAACGUGAGGCAACAACGGCGCAAGGAACAGUAGCUGCCACGACGAAGAAUUGAUACAACACUGCCCUCUACCUAAUAUAGUGAGAAGUGAAUGUAAGUAUUUGGAAAGUUUACGAGAAUUUUCGUUUAUAUUUCAUAAAAAUACUAAUAUUACUGUAACCUUGAAUAAUAUGUAAUUCUAACUUAUAUUUCUAUAUUUGUAUUUCUAAAUUAGUAAUGUCUCUCAUUUUUAACUUUUUAUGUUUGUUUGUUGUUUUAAAAGUUUGUUUGUUCCUCUAAUCUGUGCUGUGUUGGUUUUCUAUUUGUGUAGUGUUGCAAUAACAAUAAUAACAAUAAUAACAAUAAUAACAGUAUGCUGUUGACGUCACAUAGCACUAAUUAAUUUUAUUGACAACACCUGCACUUUUCACCCUGUGACCUGGCCUAUAACGUAACAUUUUUCUUAGUUCGUUCUCAUUUCUUUGUAUUUUUUCGUUUAUUUGUACUUUACUUUUAAUCACGUAGGUCCAUUAGGAACUAUAAAAUAAUGAUUUUUAAACGUAGAACGUAGACAGUGUCACGUUUAUUUUACCAGCGUCGGUAAGGUGGACGUAGCGUCACAGGUGGAACCGUAAACGUUGAUGCAGUUGUACUUUUGCUGUUGGACUAGAUCUACAUUUACUUGGAACUUUGCUGAAGUGGAGGCAACUCAACCAUCAGGUUGUGUCAUCACAUGUUCUCCUGCCAGGGGAAAAAGUACUAACCCAAACACAUUUAUUGGGCGAACUGUGACUCAACAGGGACCAGAACCAGGUCACAUGAUGCUCAGAGAGGAACCUGAUGUUUGGAUUGCACCAAUCUUCCCAUGUGAGCCUGACCCAGUUUACGCCACCCAUGUACUGCCUUCUCUUCAACAUCUGUCUCCAAUUCACAUUGUGCGGUCAGAAGGAAUCCCUGGCAUGUGGAGUGUGGUUUGAAGGAGCGCUGAAGGAAGCCACCUCUUCACUCCUACUCAACAACACAAUGUGGCGUCAACUCCCUGACUGAUCCAACUCCACUCUCUGGAAGGGUUGCAUGAACCCCAUGGAAACACUGAGAGGCAGUGGCAUUUGACUUUAAUUAAUAGAGGCGAGUUGAGAUCAAACAGGCCCACUCUGCUCCCACGACUGGGAGGAACAAAUGCAGGACAUGGGGAUUUUUGGAAUUGUUCUACAUUUGUCCAUUUUUAUCUUUUUUUCUGUUGUUGUAUAUUUAAUUGAAUAUGUUAGUGCAGUAUCAAUAGAUGGCCACCAAAUCUUUAGAUCUCAUGUUGUGUGGGGGUCUUUAUCAGUCCAGAUGUGUGCGUUUUUAAAGCUUGGGAAUCUACAGUCACUUUCAACACCUGCAUUCCCCUCUCUAAUAAAACACACUUUGUUCGCUCCCUAGAGUGACUUCAGGGCAUGUUAGACACAAUCACACCCCCAUGGGCUCCAACCACAGGCCUCACCACGGGUCUGUGGACAUUCUGUGUUUAUCAUCAUGGAUUGUGAGAAACUCAGAUAUGAUGAUGUUGCGAUCACAAGUUGAAAAAGAGGGACAAAAAACUAGAGAAGCACCGUCAUUGAAUAGUCACACUUUUAGCAGGGAUAUUUUGAUUUAAUGUGAUGAAUAUUUUAAUAUGGAUUAUAGUGAAACUACUUUGUGUCCACCUUUAACAGUUUAAUGCUCUCAGCUUGUAUUCCAACCACAGUUAUUAUUUCUAACACCCAUUAUUUAAUUUUAGAUAAUUUCAAACACCUGCCCACAGAGUCAUAUUUGAUAAACUGUUGUUCUCCUACACACACACACACACAAAAUCAUUAUUCUCGGCUGGAAAUAUCAUGACAUGGAAAUGUUUGUUCACUCACAAUGAAAAACUUCUAGCAAAGGAAAACAGUAUUUUUAUAGACCCAGCACUGGGUUUCACGUCCUACAUUAACACCUGUGUGACUCUAAGAAGGACUGAAGACGUAUGUGCAUCCAUUUCUCCUAUAUCAGCAGACUUAUGUGCCCAAGAUGUGCACUAAAACUUUAAAUGAAAAACCUGUUGACAUGUCCACGGGGACAAGAGGGACUCUUGUGGGAUCGCGGCUCUCUCGUCGGCUCAGCUGGCCCAAUAGCUAGCGGGCUGCCAUGAGGUGUUUAAUGGCUGUGUGAAGUUCCCACAUGGGGGAUGGCUGCUGGGAACAUGGAUGAAUCCAGCCCCCUUGCUCCCUCCUGGUCCACAAACACAGCUCCACUCCAGUGAUGGAUGAAACAGGCCGGAGCCUACCUCAGCCUUAUUUAUGGAAGCAGAAAGCGCUCUCCCCGUCUGUCCGCAAACUGCACCGUGAAUGCCUUUUCAUGCAGGGCGAGACGAGGGGGAGAGAGAGAGAAAGCCAUCUGACAUAGAAAUGACUUACAUGUUAGUAACAGUCCUGUUGGAGUGAGGAAGUGAUAGCAGUUUGUAAUAUGGACAUUCCAGAGGUGGAAGCGAUGCAGACCACAACUAUCUUGGGCUGCUCUGUUGUUCUAAUCAUGGUUAGCAUCGUCUAUGGGCUGCAGGUUCCUGAGAGCCCUGCAAGUGUUGUUGACCUGUAAAACACCAUUUCCUUCCAAGUGGGUAUUUGGUUGACAGGAAGGGAUCAGUGAAGUAGUUAAGCGCUGAACAUUACACCCAUAUGUGAUUGUUAAACUCCUAACUCCAAACACAUGGCUAUUUACAGCCUGUGUUGCUGUGAUACCUUUGCCUUUUGCAACAACUUUGAAGGAUAUUUCAUUACCUUAAAAAUAUUCUGACAAUUUCUCUCAGCUCUGAUUUAACCCUAAUAAUGUCCCCUGAAGACCAACACCUUAGGUCCCUUGGGGUCAAAAAUGACACCACAUUGUUUUCAUCAUUUUGUUAUUUACAUGAUAUAAAUAGUCAAUCAAUUGUCAAUUAAGUAUCACUGCAACUUAAGUCAGGAUGAACGACACCACAAUUAGCACAAUUUCAGACCAAGGUCUUGAUGUAUUUCUGUAGAUGUCAAUCAAGUGUACAUUUUGACAACAAAUGUCAAAACAAAAUAUUAAGAUAAAAUAAACAUUUAUUUUUAUAUCUGACUAUUGUCCUUCUGUUUUGGCUGUUGUUUUGUUUCUUGUCUGCCUACAUUUGGAGUUGUUUACUUACAUGUCAGAGUUUUUUGCAAAACUGUUUUGGAGAGAAUUUGAGUGGAACGCUGAUUUUAUUUUGUGAAUUUAAUAUCUGGUCAUUUCAGACUGCUGUUUGUGUCUCUACAGUAUAUACAGUUUAUCAGUAUACAAUACACCUGUUUUGAAAUCC